CUACGGUGAAUACGGUUCCCGGACCUUGUACACACCGCCCGUCAAGCCAUGGAAGCUGGGUGUACCUAAAGUCGAUAACCGUAAGGAGUCGCCUAGGGUAAAACUAGUAACUGGGGCGU
Molecule: ribosomal RNA, 119 nt
Filed under: uncultured bacterium
Lineage: Bacteria
Description: partial 16S ribosomal RNA
Rfam family: Bacterial small subunit ribosomal RNA
Source: RNAcentral